AGAGUUUGAUCCUGGCUCAGGACGAACGCUGGCGGUGUGCUUCACACAUGCAAGUCGAACGAGGUAGCAAUACCUAGUGGCGGACGGGUGAGUAACGCGUGGGAAUCUGCCUUGAGAUGGGGGAUAGCUGGCCGAAAGGCUAAUUAAUACCGCAUAAGUGCAUAACUCGACAGAGUUUUGCAUAAAAGGAGCAAUCCGUCUCAAGAUGAGCCUGCGUCCGAUUAGCUAGUUGGUAGGGUAAAAGCCUACCAAGGCGAUGAUCGGUAGGUGGUCUGAGAGGAUGAUCACCCACAAUGGGACUGAGACACGGCCCAUACUCCUACGGGAGGCAGCAGUGGGGAAUUUUACGCAAUGGGCGAAAGCCUGACGUAGCGACACCGCGUGAGCGAAGAAGCCCUUUGGGGUGUAAAGCUCUGUCGGCUGGAACGAAAACAAUGACGGUACCAGCAAAGGAAGCAUCGGCUAACUACGUGCCAGCAGCCGCGGUAAGACGUAGGAUGCAAGCGUUGUCCGGAUUUAUUGGGCGUAAAGAGUUCGUAGGCGGUUUGUUAAGUCUGAUGUUAAAGAUCAGGGCCCAACCCUGGGAGUGCAUUGGAUACUGGCAGACUGGAGUACGGUAGAGGCGAGUGGAAUUCCUGGUGUAGCGGUGAAAUGCGUAGAUAUCAGGAAGAACACCGGUGGCGUAAGCGACUCGCUGGGCCGUUACUGACGCUGAGGAACGAAAGCCAGGGGAGCAAAUGGGAUUAGAUACCCCAGUAGUCCUGGCUGUAAACGAUGGAUACUAGGCGUAGCGGGUAUCGACCCCUGCUGUGCCGCAGCUAACGCGAUAAGUAUCCCGCCUGAGUAGUACGGCCGCAAGGUUGAAACUCAAAGGAAUUGACGGGGGCCCGCACAAGCGGUGGAACAUGUGGUUCAAUUCGAAGCAACGCGAGAUCUUACAGGCUGACAUGUGAGGACUUUCGGAAACGAGGUGCCGCAGGAGCCUCAACACAGGUGGGUGCAUGCUGUCGUCA
This 1013-nucleotide ribosomal RNA is filed under the name uncultured bacterium. Its description in RNAcentral is "bacterial SSU rRNA". It matches the Rfam family "Bacterial small subunit ribosomal RNA", at positions 8 to 1057 of the family's 1533-position model. The record is from RNAcentral.